Papaver somniferum (opium poppy) is the source of this 1193-nucleotide long non-coding RNA. RefSeq lists it as uncharacterized. NCBI's taxonomy places the organism in Eukaryota, Viridiplantae, Streptophyta, Magnoliopsida, Ranunculales, Papaveraceae. The record is from RefSeq and is a predicted model, not a curated record. The transcript is spliced from 5 exons.
CCGUGGUCCUAGUUUUCCAGGCCAGCGUACCGCACCCACAUCUCUCUGCUCUUAUCUUUAACAAACCCUAAGAGAGUCCAUCUUUGUUUUCAUCUCUCACUAUGUUGUUUCUCAGACAACAAAUUUCACAAAACGAAUAAUCUACAAAGAACAAAAAUCGUUCAAUCUUAACUCUCCAUCUGUGAUCUCAGAAGAGAAAGACAAACCCUAGAAGGCUAGAACCCACUGAACCAAAUCAAUCUACUCACCUAAUAGAUCUGUCAUUGGGGCCUUCUUCUUUUUUGAAGUGAACAACAUAUUUUAAUUUUUCGGGUGUUGAGGAUAAUUUUGAUACUAUUACUUCUGUAAGGGGACAAUUGGUUAUAAAAGGGGUUGGAAACAUUUUACAAAGGACACAUUUGGACCAAGACAAUCCUGCACUCUACUUGCUUGAUAAAAAUUCAGAGAGGCGAUUUUUAAAUUUUAUCUAACCUUCCAUCCACCACCGUCACCACUUCAUUCACAUCAUGUACACCUCUCGACCUGAGAACUUCUCCUCCCCUGUUUGUGAAAACACUAAAAAACUCACAGCUGAAUUCAGCUGUCACCACCAUAGAGUCCACUUUCACAGACCACCAACACCUCCACCAAUCUAUCACCAAUUCCUUCACACCUUCACGAAUAAAAUUUCGUAUACUUGAGGUCCCAAUGUCACAUGGGUGGCCAUCAAAAUGUUUACCUCUAUGAGGAAAAUCGCUAAAGAUAAGGGUGUUGAUCAUCUAUAAAAAGACAAAUGCCUCAAGAGUUCGUCUGUCUACCACAUAUUUUGUUCCUCAAGGUGCAUCUCAAACCAAAAAUAUGACGUAAUUGAGCAUCCGUUCGCCCAAUGGAUUUCAGAACCACAAGAAGGAAAUUUGCUGGUGGGACUUACUCUGACUUGGAGGAUUAGUUUAGCAUUGCUCGAAAGGCAGAAAUGAUGGGAAAUAUGGGUGAAGUCUUGCCUUCAAGUUAGUGUUGAUGCUUUCUGUUUGUUGAGCUUCGAAUAGGAAUAUAGGUUAAGCAUUUUCAACUUAGUGUUGAAGUUUCAGGUUUGGAACUGAAGGUAUUUUAGAUAGUUGAAGUUGUAAACCGAAUACACUUUUUUAAUAUAAAAUUUUGGAUCCAGAGUGAUUUAUAUAAUAAUUUUGCUUCUAAGUAAAAUUUUUUUUUUUGAA